RNAcentral lists this ribosomal RNA (372 nucleotides) under uncultured bacterium. RNAcentral describes it as "bacterial SSU rRNA". It matches the Rfam family "Bacterial small subunit ribosomal RNA", at positions 524 to 898 of the family's 1533-position model. The record is from RNAcentral.
UACGUAGGGUGCGAGCGUUGUCCGGAAUUACUGGGUGUAAAGGGUGCGCAGGCGGGCUUGUGCGUCGGAGGUUAAAGAUCUCGGCUUAACCGAGAAAGUGCCUUCGAAACGGCAGGUCUUGAAUGUGAGAGAGGAUGAUAGAAUUCCUGGUGUAGCGGUGAAAUGCGUAGAUAUCAGGAGGAAUACCGGUGGCGAAGGCGGUCAUCUGGCUCACAAUUGACGCUCAGGCACGAAAGCGUGGGUAGCGAACAGGAUUAGAUACCCUGGUAGUCCACGCCCUAAACGAUGUAUGCUUGGUGUUGGGGAUUUAUCUCCAGUGCCGAAGGAAACCCGAUAAGCAUACCACCUGGGGAGUACGAUCGCAAGGUUGAA